This is a small nuclear RNA of Arvicola amphibius (Eurasian water vole), 162 nucleotides long. RefSeq annotates it as U1 spliceosomal RNA. NCBI's taxonomy places the organism in Eukaryota, Metazoa, Chordata, Mammalia, Rodentia, Cricetidae. The transcript has a single exon. The record is from RefSeq and is a predicted model, not a curated record.
CAAAUUAUGAAAAAGAAUGACAAGAUCAUGCUACAAAGGUGGUUUUCUCAUGGCAGGGCUUAUUAAUUACACUUCUGAUUUGCAGAUCUAUUCAAUUUCCCCAAUAUGGGAAACUUGCCUGUAUAAUUCAGGAUAGUGGGAGACUGAGUGCACACUUUCCUU